This 23-nucleotide non-coding RNA is filed under the name Callithrix jacchus (white-tufted-ear marmoset). RNAcentral also lists the same sequence under 2 other names. The record is from RNAcentral. Lineage: Eukaryota; Metazoa; Chordata; Mammalia; Primates; Cebidae.
GUGAAUUACCGAAGGGCCAUAAA